RNAcentral lists this long non-coding RNA (1649 nucleotides) under Parus major (Great Tit). Its description in RNAcentral is "lncRNA (ENSPMJG00000009338.1)". Lineage: Eukaryota; Metazoa; Chordata; Aves; Passeriformes; Paridae. The record is from RNAcentral.
CAAAUUCAAGAGGUCAUUUGUGACUUGAAAUGGUCUCUGAUGUUAAGAUGUACCACUUUUUGAGGUGUUGGGGAAGAAUGUGCUGAGACCACAAAUAGUCCUUAAUUGCAAAGUUAUGCAAGGUUCAGACAUGGUUGACAAGCAUGAUGAAUAGGAUUAAAUUGCCUGAGUGCUGGAAGGAUGUGAGGGAGAGAAACUGAAUAAGCAGUUUUUGACCUAUGUUUGAAAAGCCUACAGUUUAGGGGUAAAAGGUCGAUAAGAAAAGUAAAUAUAUUGUCUGUGAAUUUCCAUUUGCAAAAGAUGUGUCUACUGGAAGAACAUUCAGCAGUCAAAAAGGGCUGAAACAUAGAGUAGGACUCUUCAGGCUGAGAAACAGUGAAGAUGCAGCCCAAAUUACCUUGGUAAGGUGCUGUGGGGAAGACUGUUCUUAUGUCCUUUUCUUUCUCCAGGCACGUCUGCCCCUAAUGAGUUUGUGUUUUGACUUUGGGGACAGCGAAUAGAGAUGAAAGAGUAGAAGGAGUGCUUUUGGCUGAAAAUAUAAAACCCAUGAAAACUGCUCACCCAUGUUUCUCUGUUCAGGGCAAGUGUGGAAGGAACUUCUCUGGCUGUGCCAGGUGAGCCUAGAUGCAGAAGAGAGACAGGAUAUUAAGAUAUACAUGAAUUAAGUAUGACUGAGAAAAUGCAGAAUUAAUCUGCAAAUUUAAAGGAUUAAUUUAUUCCCAUUAUUUCUGUUAUUUCACUUCAUGCUCACUGUGUGCCUUUCUUGUAUUUGGUCUCUCCUUUAAAAAAAGUUUAUAAAUUUUUCCAGUGACCUGGAAGACUAUUUUUUUUUAUCUUUAAAGAAAAUAGUCUGCAGAAUAAUCUCCUCUUCUAGGCAAACAAAUGUCAUCUUCAGAAUAAAACAUGCAUACACAAGGAAAUUCCACCGAAGUAGGGGAAAAAAAGCUUACUUGGCUUGGGCCCCUUUCAGCAUGAUCUGAUAUACAGUAUUAAGUUAUCCUUAGAUGAUCUGUUAUUAUCUUCCUCCUCCCGAGCCACGUGUCAGCAACCAUAUGUGUGUGAGCAGCUGAAACUGUCCUUUGAACUCUCCACUGGCAAGUGGACGAGUGGACAGCAGGCUGGAGUUGGGUGCAGUACCUGUCCAAGUGGCUGGCCAAGCUCUGUAUCCUCAGGCCUCUGCCACUCCAGAUGGAGUCUGGAGUCAAGUCCCAGCUUGUUUGGAGUCAACUCAGGGAAUCUCAGUGAGGAAUUGCUGCUCCUGUGAGCUGAGCAUGUGAAUCCCUGGUAGCCAGAAGUUGGUAGGUGAUUCUCCUGGCCUGUUUAUUUUUUGGCUUUGUCUUCCAGACGUGUAUAUAUGCUAGACUUGAUGCACCUGCACUUGUCUCUUCCACAUCUGCAUAGCAGUGAGCAACCUCAGGAGCAUCAAUGAUGUUUAACCUUGUGAUAAUCAUAAAUCAUUCCUGAAAUUUCUGUGUAUGCCCAUUCUAUAAACUUUGUUUCAAUCAAGAGCAGCUACAUAGAAACAUUGUAUUGAUGGUUAGUGGGGAUCAGCACCAAAGGCGGUGGAAUGACAGCAAUUGGCUCUAGCCAGACAUUUGCCUAGUCAUCUUUUGGUAAAAGGGGUGUGUUAAGUCAUGAUCAGAAAGUCA